CAGUGUUGCACCUGCCUACUUGCUUUGCCUGCCUGCCUGCCUGCUUGUCUGCCUGCUUGCCUGCCUGCCUGCCUGCUUGCGAGUUACAGCGAACUCGCGAACCGAGUUCGAGUUCGUACGCUUGCCUGCUUGCCUGUCCGCUAAACCUAUAACCACCUACCCACCUACCAAGGCUAGCAGACUCGCUCUUAUUAGGUUUGGGAAUUUUGGAAGGAAGAGAAGAACGAGAAGUUACGGUGUUCCUUUUUUAAAUGGUUAAUGGCUGGGCUGUACGAUUUUCGGAUUGGCGGUUUGAAUUUAGGGAAGGUUAGGGAGAGCGAAGAAGUUGAGGAAUUCUUGAGAACGCUGUGGAUAUAGUUAGGUAGCGGCGAUUUGAAGAUCCGGUCGUUUCUAAUCGAUAAUUGCAGUUCGUUUGAUCAGCGAAUAGAUCGGAGGUUUAUAGCUCGAGGAAGUUGGAAUAGAGGAUCAAGGAGUUGUCGAGAGGCUCAUAGAAGUUUCCUGUCGAUGAUCACUCGAUCUUUAAUAGGCUUCGUGUUUAAACAGGAUGUUCGAUAUGUGGCGUUUAAUAUGUGAGAAAUGAUCGCGGAAUACGACGAAUGCUGUGGAUUUACAUGCAGAACGUAAACGGAUUGGAAACUUCACACGGUCAAAUAGGUCCUCGAUCGACGAUACGUCGUAGACCAUAGACUCUCAACACGUGGCUCGCCAGUUAAUUUUAGGCAGGCGAUUAAAUGUUACAAUAAAAUAUCGAAACACAUUACACGAUAGAAAUUCGAUAAGAGAAUAGUUAGCGAAGAAUUAUUUACGCAAGUGGAUCUGGAAAUCAUAAAAGUGUGAGAGGCCUAUGACACUGAAUAGACUAUAAUUUCGAGGAUCUUCUGGCGAGUCAGCACGACUGAGAUUCACGCUUAGGGCAAUAAAUUUGAUCCAGUUCGGUGACGACCUAAUGUAUCGGAUGCGUCGUUGUGUCACGGCGCCCGCAUAAGCAAGCGUGGCACGCGUCACGACGCCUCGCCGUCGAUAAACAAGGC
Molecule: long non-coding RNA, 1031 nt
Organism: Bombus pyrosoma
Lineage: Eukaryota; Metazoa; Arthropoda; Insecta; Hymenoptera; Apidae
Exons: 3
Source: RefSeq, a predicted model, not a curated record